CCAGACUCCUACGGGAGGCAGCAGUGGGGAAUAUUGGGCAAUGGGCGCAAGCCUGACCCAGCAACGCCGCGUGAAGGAAGAAGGCUUUCGGGUUGUAAACUUCUUUUAAGAGGGAAGAGCAGAAGACGGUACCUCUUGAAUAAGCCACGGCUAACUACGUGCCAGCAGCCGCGGUAAUACGUAGGUGGCAAGCGUUGUCCGGAUUUACUGGGUGUAAAGGGCGUGUAGCCGGGCUGACAAGUCAGAUGUGAAAGUCCGGGGCUCAACCCCGGACCUGCAUUUGAAACUGUUGGUCUUGAGUAUCGGAGAGGCAGGCGGAAUUCCUAGUGUAGCGGUGAAAUGCUUAGAUAUUGCGCAGAACUCUGAUUGCGAAGGCAGCAUACCGGCGGCGAUCUGACGCUGAGGCACGAAAGCGUGGGUAUCGAACAGGAUUAGAUACCCCCGUA
This 446-nucleotide ribosomal RNA is filed under the name uncultured bacterium. RNAcentral describes it as "partial 16S ribosomal RNA". It matches the Rfam family "Bacterial small subunit ribosomal RNA", at positions 331 to 792 of the family's 1533-position model. The record is from RNAcentral.